RNAcentral lists this ribosomal RNA (465 nucleotides) under uncultured bacterium. RNAcentral describes it as "partial 16S ribosomal RNA". It matches the Rfam family "Bacterial small subunit ribosomal RNA", at positions 338 to 795 of the family's 1533-position model. The record is from RNAcentral.
CCUACGGGAGGCAGCAGUAGGGAAUUUUCGUCAAUGGGCGCAAGCCUGAACGAGCGAUGCCGCGUGAGUGAAGAAGGCCUUCGGGUCGUAAAGCUCUGUUGCGGGGGAAAAAAGGCAGCAUCAGGAAAUGGGUGCUGACUGAUGGUGCCCCGCCAGAAAGUCACGGCUAACUACGUGCCAGCAGCCGCGGUAAUACGUAGGUGGCGAGCGUUAUCCGGAAUGAUUGGGCGUAAAGGGUGCGCAGGCGGUCCUGCAAGUCUGGAGUGAAACGCAUGAGCUCAACUCAUGCAUGGCUUUGGAAACUGGAGGACUGGAGAGCAGGAGAGGGCGGUGGAACUCCAUGUGUAGCGGUGAAAUGCGUAGAUAUAUGGAAGAACACCAGUGGCGAAGGCGGCUGCCUGGCCUGUUGCUGACGCUGAGGCACGAAAGCGUGGGGAGCAAAUAGGAUUAGAUACCCUGGUAGUC